RNAcentral lists this long non-coding RNA (543 nucleotides) under Ursus maritimus (polar bear). Its description in RNAcentral is "lncRNA (ENSUMAG00000002896.1)". The record is from RNAcentral. Lineage: Eukaryota; Metazoa; Chordata; Mammalia; Carnivora; Ursidae.
GGAGGCUGUCAGGGGGGGGGGGCCAGUCUGAGCUCUGCUUUCUCCAGGUGUUCGGGAUUGGCUGCCUUUGCUCCAACUGUGCACUUCUCUGUGCCUGGACAUCUCCCUGCCCAGACCGAAUCACUAGCAUCUGCUCAGACAAGAUACGCUUCCCAGAACAGCACCAUCGUGACAACAAUUCCAGCAGCAUGAGCUUGUGAGCUGGGAAGAAUCUUUAGGGGUUCUGCCAUCUCAUCACCUUUCAAAAGAUGGGUGGCUGGAUUCUUCUUCCACGCUUCUGCAAACUUGGCACCACUCUCCUGCUGUGAAGUGCAAGGUCUGUUUCGAGUCCCAGACAGGUACUUCUACAAGUACUCCUGCCACCAGGCUCCUUGGAACUCCAUGCCCCUGAGGUCGAAAAUCAAGUCCUAGAGCUUCAAGGGCCAGUAAGGAUUUUGUGUUCCACAUCAAAGAGAAGCUAGGAAGAGACAAUGUUUUUCCACUGUAACUUAUGAAAAUGGAUGGGGAAUUCAAUUUGCCCAUGAGUUGGAAUCUAAAGGAAUU